This 453-nucleotide ribosomal RNA is filed under the name uncultured bacterium. RNAcentral's name for it is "bacterial SSU rRNA". It matches the Rfam family "Bacterial small subunit ribosomal RNA", at positions 335 to 783 of the family's 1533-position model. The record is from RNAcentral.
ACUCCUACGGGAGGCAGCAGUGGGGAAUAUUGCACAAUGGGCGCAAGCCUGAUGCAGCCAUGCCGCGUGUGUGAAGAAGGCCUUCGGUUGUAAAGCACUUUCAGUUGUGAGGAAGGUGGUGUCGUUAAUAGCGGCAUCAUUUGACGUUAGCAACAGAAGAAGCACCGGCUAACUCCGUGCCAGCAGCCGCGGUAAUACGGAGGGUGCGAGCGUUAAUCGGAAUUACUGGCGUAAAGCGCAUGCAGGUGGUUUGUUAAGUCAGAUGUGAAAGCCCGGGGCUCAACCUCGGAACUGCAUUUGAAACUGGCAGACUAGAGUACUGUAGAGGGGGUAGAAUUUCAGGUGUAGCGGUGAAAUGCGUAGAGAUCUGAAGGAAUACCGGUGGCGAAGGCGGCCCCCUGGACAGAUACUGACACUCAGAUGCGAAAGCGUGGGGAGCAAACAGGAUUAGAU